UGGGCUUCAAGUCGUUGCAAUCUUUCACACCAAACGCAGGCUACGUUUAUAAUCAACCUUUUAAAUCGUCAGAAGGCUAUGUUUACAGUCAAUCUUUCAAGUCUCCUAAAGAUUAUUAUGUUUAUGGCCAACCUUCUAAGUUGCCUGAAACUGGCUAUGUUUAUAGUCAACCUUUCAAGCCUUCUAAAGAUUAUUAUGUUUAUGGUCAACCUUCCAAGUCAUCUGAAAGCUAUGUCCAUAAUCAACCUUCUAAGUUGCCUGAAACUGGAUAUGUUUAUAGUCAAUCCUUCAAGUCUCCUAAAGAUUAUUAUGUUUAUGGUCAACCUGCCAAGUCAUCUGAAAGCUAUGUCCAUAAUCAACCUGCCAAGUCAUCUGAAAGCUAUGUCCAUAAUCAACCUGCUAAGUUGCCUGAAACUGGAUAUGUUUACAGUCAAUCCUUCAAGUCUCCUAAAGAUUAUUAUGUAUAUGGUCAACCUGCCAAGUCAUCUGAAAGCUAUGUCCAUAAUCAACCUUCUAAGUUGCCUGAAACUGGAUAUGUUUAUAGUCAAUCCUUCAAGCGGCCUUCUGAUGGUCAAACUGAUGGGGAAAAUAUACAUGGAAAAC
RNAcentral lists this long non-coding RNA (603 nucleotides) under Ricinus communis (castor bean). Its description in RNAcentral is "long non-coding RNA (RCOM_LNC001523)". The record is from RNAcentral. Lineage: Eukaryota; Viridiplantae; Streptophyta; Magnoliopsida; Malpighiales; Euphorbiaceae.